UUUCUGAUCGAAAUGUUAGAAAGAACGUAAAAGUGACUACUUCAUCAGAGCAGCAAGUUUUACAGAAAGAUAGACAGUCAGUGUGUUCCAGGCGUCGUAUUGUCUCAUCAUCUGACGAGGAUUCGAUUUGUGAUGAGGCAGAAGACUAUACAUCCAGUAUUUUUAUACAAACAGAAAAGGAUAUUGGCUUACAGUCGCAAUUACAAUUGCUUAAUGAUAAUAUAAAUG
Long non-coding RNA from Wasmannia auropunctata (little fire ant), 228 nucleotides. RefSeq lists it as uncharacterized. The record is from RefSeq and is a predicted model, not a curated record. Lineage: Eukaryota; Metazoa; Arthropoda; Insecta; Hymenoptera; Formicidae. The transcript is spliced from 3 exons.